AGAGAAUAGAUACCCUGGUAGUCCGCGCCGUAAACGAUGAUCACUCGCUGUUGGCGAUACACAGUCAGCGGCUAAGCAAAAGCAUUAAGUGAUCCACCUGGGGAGUACGGCCGCAAGGCUGAAACUCAAAGGAAUUGACGGGGGCCCGCACAAGCGGAGGAAACAUGUGGUUUAAUUCGAUGGUACGCGAGGAACCUUACCUGGGCUUAAAUGUAGAGUGCAUUGGUGAGAAAUCAUCAUUUUCUUCGGAACUCUCUGCAAGGUGCUGCAUGGUUGUCGUCAGCUCGUGCCGUGAGGUGUCGGGUUAAGUCCCAUAACGAGCGCAACCCUUAUCGUUAGUUGCCAGCGGGUAAUGCCGGGGACUCUAGCGAAACUGCCGGUGUAAACCGAGAGGAAGGUGGGGAUGACGUCAAAUCAGCACGGCCCUUAUGUCCAGGGCUACACACGUGUUACAAUGGCCGGUACAGAGGGCAGCUACCUGGAGACAGGAUGCGAAUCUCGAAAGCCGGUCUCAGUUCGGAUCGGAGU
This 528-nucleotide ribosomal RNA is filed under the name uncultured bacterium. RNAcentral's name for it is "bacterial SSU rRNA". It matches the Rfam family "Bacterial small subunit ribosomal RNA", at positions 774 to 1304 of the family's 1533-position model. The record is from RNAcentral.